AACGAACGCUGGCGGCGUGCUUAACACAUGCAAGUCGUGCGGGAAAAGGGGGGCAACUCCCUGAGUAGAGCGGCGCACGGGUGAGUAACACGUGGGUAACCUACCCUGAAGUUCGGGAUAACCUGUCGAAAGGCGGGCUAAUACCGGGUAAGACCACGAGGGCUGCGGCCCUUGGGGUAAAAGGUGGCCUCUGCUUGCAAGCUACCACUUUGGGAUGGGCCCGCGCGCCAUUAGCUAGUUGGUGGGGUAAUGGCCUACCAAGGCGAAGAUGGCUAGCUGGUCUGAGAGGAUGGCCAGCCACACUGGGACUGAGACACGGCCCAGACUCCUACGGGAGGCAG
This 341-nucleotide ribosomal RNA is filed under the name uncultured Pseudomonadota bacterium. Its description in RNAcentral is "bacterial SSU rRNA". It matches the Rfam family "Bacterial small subunit ribosomal RNA", at positions 29 to 351 of the family's 1533-position model. The record is from RNAcentral. Lineage: Bacteria; Pseudomonadati; Pseudomonadota.